This 574-nucleotide ribosomal RNA is filed under the name Alternaria sp. IIIM1. RNAcentral describes it as "eukaryotic LSU rRNA". The stretch from base 197 to 349 matches the Rfam family "5.8S ribosomal RNA". The record is from RNAcentral. Lineage: Eukaryota; Fungi; Ascomycota; Dothideomycetes; Pleosporales; Pleosporaceae.
UCCGUAGGUGAACCUGCGGAGCGUUCAUCCAUCGUUAAUAUGAAGGCGGGCUGGAACCUCUCGGGGUUACAGCCUUGCUGAAUUAUUCACCCUUGUCUUUUGCGUACUUCUUGUUUCCUUGGUGGGUUCGCCCACCACUAGGACAAACAUAAACUCAUGUAAUUGCAAUCAGCGUCAGUAACAAAUUAAUAAUUACAACUUUCAACAACGGAUCUCUUGGUUCUGGCAUCGAUGAAGAAACUAGCGAAAUGCGAUAAGUAGUGUGAAUUGCAGAAUUCAGUGAAUCAUCGAAUCUUUGAACGCACAUUGCGCCCUUUGGUAUUCCAAAGGGCAUGCAUUCAUAGCGUCAUUUGUACCCUCAAGCUUUGCUUGGUGUUGGGCGUCUUGUCUCUAGCUUUGCUGGAGACUCGCCUUAAAGUAAUUGGCAGCCGGCCUACUGGUUUCGGAGCGCAGCACCGGCAUUCAGGACCUCUAUCAGCAAAGGUCUAGCAUCCAUUAAGCCUUUUUUUCAACUUUUGACCUCAUCCAAGGAUAGGGAUACCCGCUGAACUUAAGCAUAUCAAUAAGCGGAGGA